This is a long non-coding RNA of Rhincodon typus (whale shark), 4268 nucleotides long. RefSeq lists it as uncharacterized. The transcript is spliced from 2 exons. The record is from RefSeq and is a predicted model, not a curated record. NCBI's taxonomy places the organism in Eukaryota, Metazoa, Chordata, Chondrichthyes, Orectolobiformes, Rhincodontidae.
AAAACAGUCACCAACGGCGUUCGACGUGCCACGUGACUGCAGCCGUGUCUUGAAAAGACUAUUUAUUUGGCAAUAUUUCGAUCCUAGUUGUAGAAAUUGAAGUUAAAUUUAGAUGUUGUUAAUUUUUUUUAUUCAUUGAUGGGAUAUGGGCAUCACUGGCUGGACCAGCAUUUAUUACCCAUCCCUAAUUAAGAGUCAACCACAUUGCUGUGGUUCUGGAGUUACACGUAGGCCAGACCAGGCACCAGUGGCAUCUGUAUAGUCACCUCCAUGAAGAGGUCAGCCCCUCAAUACAUCAUCUCCUCCAUCUCUGAAGAAUAGCUACAGAUCCCCGAGGGCAAGCACAAGCAAGGCUCACUACUACACCUUCUACCAGCUCAUCCCGAUUCCUCCGUUGAAUCCUCGUUGCUGGAGUACAGCCAGGAACUGAUUCUGGUGAGCACAUUACUAGCAUGUCUCUGCAGCUGAAAGAGGAAGAAACACUCCAAGACUCUGGCAUUCAGACGUCUGCCAGAGACUAAGCACCUGCUCAGCCUCAGGCAGGAGAGGACCCAUACUGUUUGCCAUUAAUAACUUCAUUCAAAUGCACAAGCAAACAUAGGAACAGCAGGCAUAUUUGUCAGAAGCACUGUAAGUGUUGGUUGACUCCCCAACUUCAUUGGAAUGAUAACUUCAUUCCAAGUGAGUUGGAGAUACACCAUGAUGCUGUGGUGAGGCUGCUGGGUGUCUGAUGCCAAUCUCUGUCUGUGGGUGGGUGGGGGGAUGUGCAGGUGGUUGCUGCCCAUGGAGCGUACCCUGAGAUGUUUGGGAUAGCUGUCCAAGAUGGAAGCCUAGAAGAACAAGUGCUGAGCUGGAGUCAUCAGGUACUUGGCAGGAUUUUAUGUCAUCUAGUUUCUCUCUGAUAGAUGGGAGAAGAAGAAACUGCAUGUAAAGGAGGUGAGAUUAGGUACUAAUGAGAUGUAAAUGAAUUGAAUUAGACCUCUUGCUACUCAUCUAUUUAAUUGAUUUUCAUCUAGCUAUUCAAGUCUUAGGCGCCUAGUUGGACAUUUUUUCCCUCAAAGUUGAGAAUCUCAUUUUUAUAAGCUCAUCAUAUCUUUCCAUCUGACUUGCCAUUGCAAAUGAUGUUCAGGGACUGAGAAAAUUCAGCACCUAGUUUUUCUUCAAAGUAUUUUCCUUUACAAAAUUAAUACAAUCUUCUCAAACUAUAUUAAAUACAGAUAGACAAAAGACAAUAUAAAUUUUCAAUGUAUGUUAAGCAAUACAUGUUUGGUCAGUGAUACUUGUAUGUUUCUAGAUAGUGUUUCCAUUACAAAAUCAUUGCACCAUCAAACCUGCAACAGUACACUUUGAAGAAAUCAAAUUUUAUAACUUGCAGAUCCCCACAACUUGUAUUACUGCACAGGAUUUAUGAUUUGUUUUGUCAUUUUCUAUAGACAAUUCACAAAAUACAUUGUAAUUUGUUUAUUAAACAAAAGGCAUAGUUGUUAUAUUUAUAAAGCAUUCUACAUAUAAGUAAAUAUUUUCACCUAUUAAUAUUCUCUACUGAUACCAGGCAUUCUGCCAAUUAUUUACAUUAACUACCUAUUUUUGCAUACAUUACUUAGAUCAUAAUUUUGUGUACUUUCUGCUGCUUCACUUGAGGACCACCACUAAUUUUGACCCCCCAUGUGCAAUGACAUGGGAGAUUAAUAAUUUGCAAGUAACAAGUUUUAAUUCAAACAAUGACUCCUCCUGCCAAGGGGUCAAAGAUACAUGGCCAGGUCUGCAUUUUAAUAUAUACAGUUACACUCAUUAAAUAUGGAGAGUUCUUUGGAAUGUACAAGCUGUUGGUAGCUCUUCCAAAAUGUAUUGUACUUAUAGUCCCAACAAUAGUUACUGUAUAUCAAAUACAUAACCUUUCUUAACACUGAUUUGAUGAAGUAUUACAAACUCUUAACUAAAAAUAGUUUAUAUAGUUUAUAUCACAGUUGUAAAUAAAUUAAGAGUACUUGGAGUCAAGAAAAAUCCUAUUUUGUAAUUUUUAUUUACGAGUAUAGAUGACAAUAACAUUUGCAGCUGAUUUCAUAUUGUUGCAUUUGGCUCCUGAUCCAUGAACCAUUCAAGGAACAGAGUCCCACUAUCUGGAAUUCUUUUAAACAACAGGUACCCCGCAUGUUUAUGGAAUAACAUAUAUAUUUCAGAAACAGAGGUGAAAUAAAAAUAACAUCAUUUAUAAUAGAAAGCUUAUGAAACAAAGGAAUAUUUGAAGCAGAACUAUAGUCUUGCAAUUUGCACUAUUUGUAGUAAAACAUUCAACAAUUUUUAGCUGCAUUUUGUGUGUUUGUUGAAAUGUAACAGUACUGUUUUAUAGUCAAAAAUACUGCUUCUUACUAAAUUAGAUAGAGUUACUGUAAGAUACAAUCAACUGCAUAUUGCCUAAAGAAUACUGCAGUUAAAAAAGAUUGCUGUUCACAAGAUAAAUAUAUCUUCUACACAAUAUACUGGAAGUCUUGCGCAAUAGACUGGCAAAAGGAUUCUUCACACAUAAGUAAUGCAUAAUGCCAUAUAGAUCAUUCUCCGUUUAAAAAGCCAUUUAAUCGAUUAUAAAUAUGUAUAUGUCAAAAAUGAGCUUAAUGUCCUUUGAAGUCCUACAAAUAAUCUGAAAUUCAUAUUACAUUUUCUGUUUGCUUUAUGUAGCAUGACAGAGAAUAACUGAUUUGACAAAAUUAUAAUAAAUCCUAUCACACUAUUUCCAUUUUACCCUAAAAUUUGAAAUGCAACAGUCACUACAUUUAGAAAAUCAAUUUCUUUAAUGUUAGCAUGUUAACUAGUUGGGAAGAAAUACAUUGUAAUUUGUUUAAUAACCAAAGGCAUAGUUGUGGAAUUUAUAAAGCAUUCUACAUACAAGUAAAUAUUUUCACCUAUUAAUAUUCUCUACUAAUACCAGGCUGUCUGCUAAUUAUUUACAUUAACUAACUGUUUUUGCAUAAGGCAUACAUUAUUGUUAAGGGGAAGCAUAUCAUACUGAAUUUUAAUGUAUUCCUCAAGGUAUGAAUUUUUGCAAAUAUUCCCCAAAUCAUCCACCAUAACAUCAAAAACCCAAAGUAUACAUUAGGACUACUUUGCUAAAAAGUAGAAUACCGUUUCCCCUAAAGUGAACUUCGUCUGAACUUCUCAAUGCUUCAGUUAUAUUUGUAGGAUUUUUCAGCCCAUUUGAGGUUUGAAUGGCUUUGAUGUGCUUUGCGAUACUUAUUGGAUCUGUAGCUUACUGUGUACUGACAAAUUUCUGUAACCUGUGAAAAAUAUAUUCUUGAGAAUGUUGGCUUUUUUGGACAUAGGCUACAUAUCUGAUGUUAUCAAAUGUAAUUCAUGAAUUUGACUGUAUUUUAAGGCAGAGGUUUUGGGUGAACUUUUACUAGUGCAUUUUGUAUGCAAGGACACACUUAUUCUUGACUGCACAAGCAUCACCUACAUUUUAGCCCAUUAACACAGAUAAUAUUUAUUUCUGAUGGUUAUUGUCUAUAUAAGUCAGCACAUGCAAAGGGAAAUUAGUUUCUCACCAUUUCUCUCCCAUCCCUGCUCCAUUCCCCACCCCUGACACACACACACAGAGCAUAUAUAAAUAUUAGAUUAUAAGCUCUAUAUGAUUUAUGUCAUUAGACUAACUGAAUACACAUGACCAAUAUAACUGGAACAUAAAUUAUACACCACAAGCUUUCCUUAAGUAAGUUUUAACAUAUUGUACAGCUAUAAGAGAUGGGUUUCAUUGAACAUCAGAUCAAGUACCAUAAGAAAUGAGUUUAUAAAAAACAUAGUAUUCGAAAAGUUCAGUUUCAAACAUGCCUAUGAGAGGACAGAAUAUUAAGCAAAGAUUUGCAUUUAUUGAUAAAUAGCAAAAACAUAUUUUUAACUCUAACUUAACUGAAGAUGUGACCUUGUAUGCAAUCACUAGCUAUAUGUAUAUUCCUAGAUCAUCAUGUUGUUAUUUUCCUAAUGAUUUACACAUCUGUUUAAUUUACUGAUGUUAUAUUUAAAUGUUUAUAAAGACCAAAACAAUAACAAUUUAAUUUCUUAAAACUGAAAAUUAAUUGCCACAUCUUGUCAAGAGUCAUUUGGUACAAUGCACAUACAAACAACUUUCUCAUUAUUUUUAAUUUAAUUGUGUGCUGAUGGCAGAAACAAGCUGACAAUAUGUUCAGCAGGAAAAUGUACAGUGGGUCAGCCAGUACCUGAAAGAAAGAUUGAUCUGCUGUCAAAGAUUUUUAAUAAAAUGUUAACUUAUUUCAAAA